Long non-coding RNA from Ostrea edulis (European flat oyster), 405 nucleotides. RefSeq lists it as uncharacterized. The transcript has 2 exons. Lineage: Eukaryota; Metazoa; Mollusca; Bivalvia; Ostreida; Ostreidae. The record is from RefSeq and is a predicted model, not a curated record.
UCCAUCCAGGAUUGAAAUCAGUUUACAAGUACGCUUCUAUCCUUUCCAACCAUGCUAUGUGAUUCACUUCCGCUGAGCUUGGCGGAAAUUACACGGCACUAAAUAUUGAGUUCACAUUUUACCAGCGCUGGUAUAUAGUGCAGCAUCACUCAACAGUCGCUUCUCCUCCGCUGCGGACCAUAUUACCACACUGCUACACAUGCGCGGGAUUUGACCACUAAGGACAUCACGCAACAGAUAGAAGCUACAGGCAAGAAUCUGUGUCGUCCGAGAACUAAUUAAAACGGAGGUACCGUGCCCGUUUUCUUCAUUUCUCCCUGGAUGUUGUUUUGAUACUACACCAUUCACGUCAUGCCUAUCAACCAAGUCCAAAACCUUCAGAAACAAUUAGCCCAAUUAAAGGAA